RNAcentral lists this ribosomal RNA (253 nucleotides) under uncultured prokaryote. RNAcentral's name for it is "partial 16S ribosomal RNA". It matches the Rfam family "Bacterial small subunit ribosomal RNA", at positions 525 to 777 of the family's 1533-position model. The record is from RNAcentral.
ACGAAGGGUGCAAGCGUUACUCGGAAUUACUGGGCGUAAAGGGUGCGUAGGUGGUUUUUUAAGUCUGCUGUGAAAUCCCCGGGCUCAACCUGGGAAUGGCAGUGGAUACUGGAAAGCUGGAGUGCGGUAGAGGGUAGUGGAAUUCCCGGUGUAGCAGUGAGAUGCGUAGAGAUCGGGAGGAACACCAGUGGCGAAGGCAAUCCCCUGGGCCUGCACUGACGCUCAUGCACGAAAGCGUGGGGAGCAAACAGGA